UAGCCUUGACAUUGAUUGAAUUCACCAGAGAUGGAGAAGUGCCCUUCGGGGAACAUGAAAACAGGUGCUGCACGGCUGUCGUCAGCUCGUGUCGUGAGAUGUUGGGUUAAGUCCCGCAACGAGCGCAACCCUCGCUAAUAGUUAAUAACGAUUCGGUCGAUGACUCUAUUAGGACUGCCUUCGCAAGAAGGAGGAAGGUGAGGACGACGUCAAGUCAUCAUGGCCCUUACGGCUAGGGCAACACACGUGCUACAAUGGUUAGGACAAUGAGAAGCGAUACCGCGAGGUGGAGCAAAUCUAUAAACCUAAUCUCAGUUCGGAUAGCAGUCUGCAACUCGACUGCUUGAAGC
Molecule: ribosomal RNA, 350 nt
Filed under: uncultured bacterium
Lineage: Bacteria
Description: bacterial SSU rRNA
Rfam family: Bacterial small subunit ribosomal RNA
Source: RNAcentral